ACUUUUUGCUUGGUCUAUUAAAAUGAUUCAUGUUGCAUUCAACAUAAACUGUGUGUUCACAGAGGAGGGUGAGAGCCCGCACUCACAGCAUAAUAACUAAAGUGAAUUUUGAACGAGCCGCAGUUUGUGGCAGCCGUGUGCACGAGUAAAGGGGGGAAUCAAAUCUGCAUGUUUAUGCUGUGGAACAUCAAAUAACACCAUUUUACUGUUUGGAGUACAUACAGCGUGGGAUUUACAUUCCAUUUACCUGACCUCACGGAGGGAACUCGGACUGAUAUGCAAAGUACAUGAAAUAUUUACUACACUGGAUCAUGCCAGGCUUCUAAAGGAAAACAGAUGAAGAUAGGGUACCAACAACCGACCAGAGAAUCAAUUCUACCGGAGUCCGGCUGAGGGAUGUGUGUCUGACUCCAAGGUGCCUGCCUCUCCAAAUAAUCAUCACAGUGAGUGAGGCUGUGCACCGGAAGCUAAUUUCUGGACCUGCAGGUGCCUUUGCCCCAGCAACUGUUACCUAUAUAAGCUUGGAGGUGGGGAGGUAUUGUGAGUCCUGUAUCUUUCGGGAGUGUCCUGAGCCUUGUAAGUGUUACUUCCUUCUUAAGUCUUAAGAAGUUCCCCCACCAACCCCAGGAAUUAAAGGUUUUCAUUCAGAGGAA
Mus musculus (house mouse) is the source of this 653-nucleotide long non-coding RNA. RefSeq annotates it as predicted gene 16117. NCBI's taxonomy places the organism in Eukaryota, Metazoa, Chordata, Mammalia, Rodentia, Muridae. The record is from RefSeq and is a predicted model, not a curated record. The transcript has 3 exons.